GGAGGGAUAUAUAUAGGAUAUUGGUGUCGCUACACUAACAAGCGUUUCCCAUUAAAAAAUACUUUUUCUUUCUCAAAACGGUCAAAUUUUUUAUAUUUCAAACUAGUGUUGCUUGACUACUUGGUGGCAUCACCUUACAUCACUUUUUUUUUAUUUUGUUUCAUCCUUUUUUUUCAGUUAACUACAUUUAAAAAAUACCCACCGG
RNAcentral lists this long non-coding RNA (205 nucleotides) under Gossypium raimondii (Peruvian cotton). RNAcentral's name for it is "long non-coding RNA (GRAI_LNC002743)". The record is from RNAcentral. Lineage: Eukaryota; Viridiplantae; Streptophyta; Magnoliopsida; Malvales; Malvaceae.